GAUGAACGCUGGCGGCGUGCCUAAUACAUGCAAGUCGAGCGAACGGACGAGAAGCUUGCUUCUCUGAUGUUAGCGGCGGACGGGUGAGUAACACGUGGAUAACCUACCUAUAAGACUGGGAUAACUUCGGGAAACCGGAGCUAAUACCGGAUGAUAUUUUGAACCGCAUGGUUCAAAAGUGAAAGACGGUCUUGCUGUCACUUAUAGAUGGAUCCGCGCUGCAUUAGCUAGUUGGUAAGGUAACGGCUUACCAAGGCAACGAUGCAUAGCCGACCUGAGAGGGUGAUCGGCCACACUGGAACUGAGACACGGUCCAGACUCCUACGGGAGGCAGCAGUAGGGAAUCUUCCGCAAUGGGCGAAAGCCUGACGGAGCAACGCCGCGUGAGUGAUGAAGGUCUUCGGACCGUAAAACUCUGUUAUUAGGGAAGAACAUAUGUGUAAGUAACUGUGCACAUCUUGACGGUACCUAAUCAGAAAGCCACGGCUAACUACGUG
This 497-nucleotide ribosomal RNA is filed under the name uncultured bacterium. RNAcentral describes it as "partial 16S ribosomal RNA". It matches the Rfam family "Bacterial small subunit ribosomal RNA", at positions 28 to 507 of the family's 1533-position model. The record is from RNAcentral.